GGUUAAGCGACUAAGCGUACACGGUGGAUGCCCUGGCAGUCAGAGGCGAUGAAGGGCGUGCUAAUCUGCGAUAAGCGCCGGUAAGGUGAUAUGAACCGUUAUAACCGGCGAUACCCGAAUGGGGAAACCCAGUGUGAUUCGUCACACUAUCAUUAACUGAAUCCAUAGGUUAAUGAGGCGAACCGGGGGAACUGAAACAUCUAAGUACCCCGAGGAAAAGAAAUCAACCGAGAUUCCCCCA
This 241-nucleotide ribosomal RNA is filed under the name Salmonella enterica subsp. enterica serovar Infantis. Its description in RNAcentral is "partial 23S ribosomal RNA". It matches the Rfam family "Bacterial large subunit ribosomal RNA", at positions 1 to 242 of the family's 2925-position model. Lineage: Bacteria; Pseudomonadati; Pseudomonadota; Gammaproteobacteria; Enterobacterales; Enterobacteriaceae. The record is from RNAcentral. RNAcentral also lists the same sequence under 67 other names.